Leptidea sinapis is the source of this 1017-nucleotide long non-coding RNA. RefSeq lists it as uncharacterized. The transcript is spliced from 2 exons. NCBI's taxonomy places the organism in Eukaryota, Metazoa, Arthropoda, Insecta, Lepidoptera, Pieridae. The record is from RefSeq and is a predicted model, not a curated record.
UGUGUCAAAAGCCAAGCCGUAUUUUCAAAUUUCGCCUACCGUUGAAACUAUAAAUUUGUAAAGCGGCACGAAGCAGUCAUAAGUUUUCAAUAACUGCUGAAGUGAGCGCGGAAUGUCUUCAGCAUUCUUAUAAAUAUCCAAGAGGCAGUCUAUCAAUGUAAAUCUUUGAAGAUUAUAUUGGGGACAGUCAAAGAAAAUGUGAUCAAGAGUUUGGAUGGAUAAAUUACAGAAUUGACAAGUUGGAGAAUCUAAAACACCGAUCCUAAAUAAAUGAGCACCACUACGAGAAUGUCCCAGACGUAACCGGCAAAUUGUGGUGUAAAAUUUUCUGUAUUACUGUGUGGAGGAAUGUUAAAUGGAAUUGAAGAAGAUUCAGUUUUCGACACUACCAUGGAAAAUUUUGUGAUUGUAGGCAAGUGAUAGCUGCCCAAAGAGUCCUAAUGAACUUGCCAUUCACAACACAGGAAUAAUGAAGAUGAUACUAUUGUUAGAUCUAGUCCAUUUGGUCUCCAAGAAUUAGUACCCACUGUAGUUGGUUGAUCAUUAUUUAAGAGCAUUAAGUUAUUAUCGUCCAUUACAUCCAUGAUGUCUCUACCUCUAGAAUUGGUUCUAUUACAACCCCGAAUGGUAUGGUGAGCAUUAAAAUCACCAGCAAUUAUUAGUGGUUUUGGAAUACUAUGCAACAGUCUAUUAAAUUUAGAUUUGUCAAAGUUAGGUACACUGUUGCCAGGACUAUAAAAGCUAACAAUUUUGCAAGGAGUUAUCAGAAAAUGUUUCUAACUUUUGAAAAUAAAUGCCAUUUCUAACAAAAAUUGCUACACCAUUGUGAUCAUUACCACAAUCAUUUCUUAGUAUUGUAUAACCUCUGAUAGAAAACUGUAUAUUUGGUUUAAGCCAAGUUUCUGAUAUAAGUGCUAUGUGUAUGUCCUGCUCAUAAAGUAGGGUUUGAAGCUCACCUUCUUAUUGAGUGAUGGAAAGUUUGUUGGAUGUUUAAAUAAAUCUGAUAAUGGUGUUUUA